RNAcentral lists this microRNA precursor (67 nucleotides) under Bombyx mori (domestic silkworm). RNAcentral's name for it is "mir-2774 microRNA precursor family". It matches the Rfam family "mir-2774 microRNA precursor family". The record is from Rfam by way of RNAcentral. Lineage: Eukaryota; Metazoa; Arthropoda; Insecta; Lepidoptera; Bombycidae.
ACAACCUUCGGACCGUCGGUCUACCUAGUAAUAUCACUCGCUAGCUGGAAGAUGUACAGUUUGUCGU